RNAcentral lists this ribosomal RNA (507 nucleotides) under Xenorhabdus doucetiae. RNAcentral's name for it is "partial 23S ribosomal RNA". It matches the Rfam family "Bacterial large subunit ribosomal RNA", at positions 1 to 500 of the family's 2925-position model. The record is from RNAcentral. RNAcentral also lists the same sequence under 1 other name. Lineage: Bacteria; Pseudomonadati; Pseudomonadota; Gammaproteobacteria; Enterobacterales; Morganellaceae.
GGUUAAGUUAGAAAGGGCGCACGGUGGAUGCCUUGACACUAGGAGUCGAUGAAGGACGGGACUAACGCCGAUAUGCUUCGGGGAGCUGUAAGUAAGCUUUGAUCCGAAGAUUUCCGAAUGGGGAAACCCACCAUACGUAAUGGUAUGGUAUCCUUACCUGAAUACAUAGGGUAAGGAAGACAGACCCAGGGAACUGAAACAUCUAAGUACCUGGAGGAAGAGAAAGCAAAUGCGAUUUCCUGAGUAGCGGCGAGCGAAACGGAACAUAGCCCAAACCAAGAGGCUUGCCUCUUGGGGUUGUAGGACAUUCUAUACGGAGUUACAAAGGAACGAGGUAGACGAAGCGACCUGGAAAGGUCCGUCGUAGAGGGUAACAACCCCGUAGUCGAAACUUCGUUCUCUCUUGAAUGUAUCCUGAGUACGGCGGAACACGUGAAAUUCCGUCGGAAUCUGGGAGGACCAUCUCCCAAGGCUAAAUACUCCCUAGUGAUCGAUAGUGAACCAGUA